This 323-nucleotide ribosomal RNA is filed under the name uncultured Paenibacillus sp. Its description in RNAcentral is "bacterial SSU rRNA". It matches the Rfam family "Bacterial small subunit ribosomal RNA", at positions 1060 to 1382 of the family's 1533-position model. Lineage: Bacteria; Bacillati; Bacillota; Bacilli; Caryophanales; Paenibacillaceae. The record is from RNAcentral.
UCGUGUCGUGAGAUGUGGUUAAGUCCCGCAACGAGCGCAACCCUCGACCUUAGUUGCCAGCAUUCAGUUGGGCACUCUAAGGGUGACUGCCGGCUAAAAAGUCGGAGGAAGGUGGGGAGUGACGUCAAAUCAUCAUGCCCCUUAUGACCUGGGCUACACACGUGCUACAAUGGGCGGUACAAAGGGUCGCGAACCCGCGAGGGGGAGCCAAUCCCAAAAAAGCCGCUCUCAGUUCGGAUUGCAGGCUGCAACUCGCCUGCAUGAAGCCGGAAUCGCUAGUAAUCGCGGAUCAGCAUGCCGCGGUGAAUACGUUCCCGGGCCUU